Molecule: ribosomal RNA, 942 nt
Filed under: Vibrio owensii
Lineage: Bacteria; Pseudomonadati; Pseudomonadota; Gammaproteobacteria; Vibrionales; Vibrionaceae
Description: bacterial SSU rRNA
Rfam family: Bacterial small subunit ribosomal RNA
Source: RNAcentral
GGCCUAACACAUGCAAGUCGAGCGGAAACGACUUAACUGAACCUUCGGGGAACGUUAAGGGCGUCGAGCGGCGGACGGGUGAGUAAUGCCUAGGAAAUUGCCCUGAUGUGGGGGAUAACCAUUGGAAACGAUGGCUAAUACCGCAUGAUGCCUACGGGCCAAAGAGGGGGACCUUCGGGCCUCUCGCGUCAGGAUAUGCCUAGGUGGGAUUAGCUAGUUGGUGAGGUAAUGGCUCACCAAGGCGACGAUCCCUAGCUGGUCUGAGAGGAUGAUCAGCCACACUGGAACUGAGACACGGUCCAGACUCCUACGGGAGGCAGCAGUGGGGAAUAUUGCACAAUGGGCGCAAGCCUGAUGCAGCCAUGCCGCGUGUGUGAAGAAGGCCUUCGGGUUGUAAAGCACUUUCAGUCGUGAGGAAGGUGGUGUAGUUAAUAGCUGCAUUAUUUGACGUUAGCGACAGAAGAAGCACCGGCUAACUCCGUGCCAGCAGCCGCGGUAAUACGGAGGGUGCGAGCGUUAAUCGGAAUUACUGGGCGUAAAGCGCAUGCAGGUGGUUUGUUAAGUCAGAUGUGAAAGCCCGGGGCUCAACCUCGGAAUAGCAUUUGAAACUGGCAGACUAGAGUACUGUAGAGGGGGGUAGAAUUUCAGGUGUAGCGGUGAAAUGCGUAGAGAUCUGAAGGAAUACCGGUGGCGAAGGCGGCCCCCUGGACAGAUACUGACACUCAGAUGCGAAAGCGUGGGGGAGCAAACAGGAUUAGAUACCCUGGUAGUCCACGCCGUAAACGAUGUCUACUUGGAGGUUGUGGCCUUGAGCCGUGGCUUUCGGAGCUAACGCGUUAAGUAGACCGCCUGGGGAGUACGGUCGCAAGAUUAAAACUCAAAUGAAUUGACGGGGGCCCGCACAAGCGGUGGAGCAUGUGGUUUAAUUCGAUGCAACGCGAA